Molecule: RNase P RNA, 369 nt
Filed under: Liquorilactobacillus oeni DSM 19972
Lineage: Bacteria; Bacillati; Bacillota; Bacilli; Lactobacillales; Lactobacillaceae
Description: Lactobacillus oeni DSM 19972 Bacterial RNase P class B
Rfam family: Bacterial RNase P class B
About the family: Ribonuclease P (RNase P) is a ubiquitous endoribonuclease, found in archaea, bacteria and eukarya as well as chloroplasts and mitochondria. Its best characterised activity is the generation of mature 5'-ends of tRNAs by cleaving the 5'-leader elements of precursor-tRNAs.
Source: Rfam by way of RNAcentral
GUUUUCUGGUAAUCGCGGUUUGCUUUAUGCAGACUGAGGAAAGUCCAAGCUUGCACAAGCUGAGAUGCUUGUAGUGAUCGUGCUUGCUGAAAAAAUAAGGCAAGGUACCUUUAUGGUAACGGCAGACAAAAAAGCUAAGGUUUGACUAUGCUUUAGUAGUUUUGAAAAGUGCCACAGUGACGAAACAAUAUCGGAAACGAUAUUGGUGGAACGAGGUAAACCCCGCGAGCAGGUAACCCAAACUUUGGUAGGGGCGCUUCAUGACGGAAAUGAACUAAUCAUGGGGGCAGGCAUUUUGCCUGGAGAUAGAUGAUUACCACCGAUUUCGGUUUCCUGAACCGGAUGACGUACGGAACGUGGCUUAUAGAG